Molecule: ribosomal RNA, 253 nt
Filed under: uncultured bacterium
Lineage: Bacteria
Description: partial 16S ribosomal RNA
Rfam family: Bacterial small subunit ribosomal RNA
Source: RNAcentral
GACGAACCGUACGAACGUUAUUCGGAAUCACUGGGCUUAAAGGGUGCGUAGGCGGCGCGACAAGUUGGGUGUGAAAUCCCUCGGCUCAACCGAGGAACUGCGCCCAAAACUGUCGUGCUCGAGGGAGACAGAGGUGAGCGGAACUUAGGGUGGAGCGGUGAAAUGCGUUGAUAUCCUAAGGAACACCGGUGGCGAAGGCAGAUCUCUGGGCCGUAACUGACGCUGAGGAGCGAAAGCAUGGGGAGCGAACAGG